This 129-nucleotide small nucleolar RNA is filed under the name Carlito syrichta (Philippine tarsier). RNAcentral's name for it is "Small nucleolar RNA SNORA68 (ENSTSYG00000021104.2)". It matches the Rfam family "Small nucleolar RNA SNORA68". From Rfam's summary of the family: U68 is a member of the H/ACA class of small nucleolar RNAs (snoRNAs) which act as guides in the the modification of uridines to pseudouridines. The record is from Rfam by way of RNAcentral. Lineage: Eukaryota; Metazoa; Chordata; Mammalia; Primates; Tarsiidae.
AGAUUAUUGAAAACAAAAACAUUUUCCUGUAACAGUGGUUUAAACAGGGGUGCACACAGCAAGUGAAUCUCAUCGCCUUUGGGAGUCUGUGGCUGUGCCCCUCAAAGUGAAUUUGGAGGUUCCAUAUCC